GAUGAACGCUGGCGGCGUGCCUAAUACAUGCGAGUCGAGCGAACGGACGAGAAGCUUGCUUCUCUGAUGUUAGCGGCGGACGGGUGAGUAACACGUGGAUAACCUACCUAUAAGACUGGGAUAACUUCGGGAAACCGGAGCUAAUACCGGAUAAUAUUUUGAACCGCAUGGUUCAAAAGUGGAAGACGGUCUUGCUGUCACUUAUAGAUGGAUCCGCGCUGCAUUAGCUAGUUGGUAAGGUAACGGCUUACCAAGGCAACGAUGCAUAGCCGACCUGAGAGGGUGAUCGGCCACACUGGAACUGAGACACGGUCCAGACUCCUACGGGAGGCAGCAGUAGGGAAUCUUCCGCAAUGGGCGAAAGCCUGACGGAGCAACGCCGCGUGAGUGAUGAAGGUCUUCGGAUCGUAAAACUCUGUUAUUAGGGAAGAACAUAUGUGUAAGUAACUGUGCACAUCUUGACGGUACCUAAUCAGAAAGCCACGGCUAACUACGUG
RNAcentral lists this ribosomal RNA (497 nucleotides) under uncultured bacterium. RNAcentral's name for it is "partial 16S ribosomal RNA". It matches the Rfam family "Bacterial small subunit ribosomal RNA", at positions 28 to 507 of the family's 1533-position model. The record is from RNAcentral.